RNAcentral lists this ribosomal RNA (266 nucleotides) under uncultured bacterium. RNAcentral's name for it is "partial 16S ribosomal RNA". It matches the Rfam family "Bacterial small subunit ribosomal RNA", at positions 793 to 1055 of the family's 1533-position model. The record is from RNAcentral.
GUCCACGCCCUAAACGAUGUCUACUAGUUGUUGGUGGAGUAAAAUCCAUGAGUAACGCAGCUAACGCGUGAAGUAGACCGCCUGGGGAGUACGGUCGCAAGAUUAAAACUCAAAGGAAUUGACGGGGCCCGCACAAGCGGUGGAUUAUGUGGAUUAAUUCGAUGCAACGCGAAAACCUUAACCUGGCCUUGACAUGCCACUAACGAAGCAGAGAUGCAUUAGGUGCUCGAAAGAGAAAGUGGACACAGGUGCUGCAUGGCUGUCGU